This 461-nucleotide ribosomal RNA is filed under the name uncultured bacterium. RNAcentral's name for it is "bacterial SSU rRNA". It matches the Rfam family "Bacterial small subunit ribosomal RNA", at positions 28 to 507 of the family's 1533-position model. The record is from RNAcentral.
GACGAACGCUGGCGGCGUGCCUAACACAUGCAAGUCGAGCGGAGACAGCAGCAAUGUUGUCUUAGCGGCGGACGGGUGAGUAACGCGUGGGCAACCUGCCUUCUACAGGGGGAUAACACAGGGAAACUUGUGCUAAUACCGCAUAACAUACGGGAAGGACAUCCUUAUCGUAUCAAAGGAGCAAUCCGGUAGAAGAUGGGCCCGCGUCCGAUUAGCUAGUUGGAGGUGUAACGGACCACCAAGGCGACGAUCGGUAGCCGAACUGAGAGGUUGAUCGGCCACAUUGGGACUGAGACACGGCCCAGACUCCUACGGGAGGCAGCAGUGGGGAAUAUUGCGCAAUGGGGGAAACCCUGACGCAGCAACGCCGCGUGAAGGAUGAAGGUUUUCGGAUUGUAAACUUCUUUAGCCAGGGACGAAGAAUGACGGUACCUGGAGAAUAAGCCACGGCUAACUACGUG